This 497-nucleotide ribosomal RNA is filed under the name uncultured bacterium. RNAcentral's name for it is "partial 16S ribosomal RNA". It matches the Rfam family "Bacterial small subunit ribosomal RNA", at positions 28 to 507 of the family's 1533-position model. The record is from RNAcentral.
GAUGAACGCUGGCGGCGUGCCUAAUACAUGCAAGUCGAGCGAACAGACGAGGAGCUUGCUCCUCUGACGUUAGCGGCGGACGGGUGAGUAACACGUGGAUAACCUACCUAUAAGACUGGGAUAACUUCGGGAAACCGGAGCUAAUGCCGGAUAAUAUAUUGAACCGCAUGGUUCAAUAGUGAAAGACGGUUUUGCUGUCACUUAUAGAUGGAUCCGCGCCGCAUUAGCUAGUUGGUAAGGUAACGGCUUACCAAGGCAACGAUGCGUAGCCGACCUGAGAGGGUGAACGGCCACACGGGAACUGAGACCCGGGCCCGGAUCCCACGGGAGGCAGCAGUAGGGAAUCUUCCGGAAUGGGCGAAAACCUUGCGGAGCAACGCCGGGUGAGGGAAGAAGGUCCUCCGAUCCGUAAACCCUGUUAUUAGGGAAGAACAAAAUUGUAAGGAAACUUUCACCUCCUGACGGGACCUAAUCAGAAAAGCAAGGCUAAACACCUG